UACGUAGGGGGCUAGCGUUGUCCGGAAUCAUUGGGCGUAAAGCGCGCGUAGGCGGCCCGGUAAGUCCGCUGUAAAAGUCAAAGGCUCAACCUUUGAAUGUCAGUGGAUACUGCCGGGCUAGAGUCCGGAAGAGGCGAGUGGAACUCCUGGUGUAGCGGUGGAAUGCGCAGAUAUCGUAAGGAAGACCAGUGGCGAAGGCGGGUCUCUGGACAGUUCCUGACGCUGAGGCACGAAGGUCAGGGGAGCAAACGGG
Molecule: ribosomal RNA, 253 nt
Filed under: uncultured bacterium
Lineage: Bacteria
Description: partial 16S ribosomal RNA
Rfam family: Bacterial small subunit ribosomal RNA
Source: RNAcentral